Molecule: ribosomal RNA, 497 nt
Filed under: uncultured bacterium
Lineage: Bacteria
Description: partial 16S ribosomal RNA
Rfam family: Bacterial small subunit ribosomal RNA
Source: RNAcentral
GAUGGACGCUGGCGGCGUGCCUAAUACAUGCAAGUCGAGCGAACAGACGAGGAGCUUGCUCCUCUGACGUUAGCGGCGGACGGGUGGGUAACACGUGGAUAACCUACCUAUAAGACUGGGAUAACUUCGGGAAACCGGAGAUAACACCGGAUAAUAUAUUGAACCGCAUGGUUCAAUAGUGAAAGACGGUUUUGCUGUCACUUAUAGAUGGAUCCGCGCCGCAUUAGCUAGUUGGUAAGGUAACGGCUUACCAAGGCUACGAUGCGUAGCCGACCUGAGAGGGUGAUCGGCCACACUGGAACUGAGACACGGUCCAGACUCCUACGGGAGGCAGCAGUAGGGAAUCUUCCGCAAUGGGCGAAAGCCUGACGGAGCAACGCCGCGUGAGUGAUGAAGGUCUUCGGAUCGUAAAACUCUGUUAUUAGGGAAGAACAAAUGUGUAAGUAACUAUGCACGUCUUGACGGUACCUAAUCAGAAAGCCACGGCUAACUACGUG